Molecule: ribosomal RNA, 466 nt
Filed under: uncultured Klebsiella sp.
Lineage: Bacteria; Pseudomonadati; Pseudomonadota; Gammaproteobacteria; Enterobacterales; Enterobacteriaceae
Description: bacterial SSU rRNA
Rfam family: Bacterial small subunit ribosomal RNA
Source: RNAcentral
CCUACGGGAGGCUGCAGUGGGGAAUAUUGCACAAUGGGCGCAAGCCUGAUGCAGCCAUGCCGCGUGUGUGAAGAAGGCCUUCGGGUUGUAAAGCACUUUCAGCGGGGAGGAAGGCGUUAAGGUUAAUAACCUUGUCGAUUGACGUUACCCGCAGAAGAAGCACCGGCUAACUCCGUGCCAGCAGCCGCGGUAAUACGGAGGGUGCAAGCGUUAAUCGGAAUUACUGGGCGUAAAGCGCACGCAGGCGGUCUGUCAAGUCGGAUGUGAAAUCCCCGGGCUCAACCUGGGAACUGCAUUCGAAACUGGCAGGCUAGAGUCUUGUAGAGGGGGGGUAGAAUUCCAGGUGUAGCGGUGAAAUGCGUAGAGAUCUGGAGGAAUACCGGUGGCGAAGGCGGCCCCCUGGACAAAGACUGACGCUCAGGUGCGAAAGCGUGGGGAGCAAACAGGAUUAGAUACCCGAGUAGUC